Molecule: non-coding RNA, 409 nt
Organism: Schizosaccharomyces pombe (fission yeast)
Lineage: Eukaryota; Fungi; Ascomycota; Schizosaccharomycetes; Schizosaccharomycetales; Schizosaccharomycetaceae
Source: the annotation of a GenBank genome assembly
AAGCGGAAAAUACCAACUGUAAGACUUGAGAAAAAUCGAUCAAUUUAUUAUGAUAAUGGGGAAUGACUUUUACUAAAGCUUCAGCGCAAGAACUAUUGGUUUGAAAAAAUGACAAAGAUUUUAACCAAUUAAUGUAGAGAUCAUUUUUAUCAGUAGUUAAGGAAGCUAGCGGGUUAUGUGAAUCAGAAGCGUUAAGCUUUUUAGUUGGUAGCUCAUUUUCUCUGGAUUCACGUUGACGAUCAGAGGCUUUUCUUUUACGCGACGAACCUUGCAUAUUAAAAUCAUUGGCAUUCCCUAAAUGAAAAUGGGCUCCAUGGUCUGAUAAAUGAGUGCGAUCUUCAAAAUUUUGGUUGUAUACAUACGAAGAUUUCUCCAAAUGCUUACUUCGAGGCCCUGUAUCUCUAUUAUC